UACGGAGGGUGCAAGCGUUAUCCGGAUUCACUGGGUUCAAAGGGUGCGUAGGCGGAUAAGUAAGUCAGUGGUGAAAUCUCCGGGCUUAACUCGGAAACUGCCGUUGAUACUAUUUAUCUUGAAUAUCAUGGAGGUAAGCGGAAUAUGUCAUGUAGCGGUGAAAUGCUUAGAUAUGACAUAGAACACCGAUAGCGAAGGCAGCUUACUACAUGUUAAUUGACGCUGAGGCACGAAAGCGUGGGGAGCAAACAGG
This 253-nucleotide ribosomal RNA is filed under the name uncultured bacterium. RNAcentral describes it as "partial 16S ribosomal RNA". It matches the Rfam family "Bacterial small subunit ribosomal RNA", at positions 524 to 776 of the family's 1533-position model. The record is from RNAcentral.